AGUGAACGCUGGCGGUAGGCCUAAUACAUGCAAGUCGAACGGCCGCACCGUAAGCGCUCGCUCUUAUGGGUGGCGAGUGGCGGGUGGGUGAGGCAUACAUCGGAAUCUACUUUUUCGUGGGGGAUAACGUAGGGAAACUUAUGCUAAUACCGCAUACGACCUAUGGCAGAAAGCAGGGUUUCUUCGGACCUUGCGCGAUCGCAUGAGCCGAUGCCGGAUUAGCUAGUUGGCGGGGUAAAGGCCCACCAAGGCGACGAUCCGUAGCUGACCUGAGAGGAUGAUCGGCCACACUGGAACUGAGACACGGUCCAGACUCCUACGGGAGGCAGCAGUGAGGAAUACUGCGCAAUGGGCGAAAGCCUGAUCCAGCCACGCCGCGUGAGUGAAGAAGGCCUUCGGGUUGUAAAGCCCUUUUGUUAGGGAAGAAAAACUGCAGGUUAAAACCGCGCUGUUCUGACGGUACCCAAAGAGAAAGCACCGGCUAACUUCGUG
Molecule: ribosomal RNA, 492 nt
Filed under: uncultured bacterium
Lineage: Bacteria
Description: partial 16S ribosomal RNA
Rfam family: Bacterial small subunit ribosomal RNA
Source: RNAcentral